UGAAAGGUGUAAUUUAGUCUGAAAAAUAUUGUAUUGUUUUUCGUUUAGAAUUGAAAAAUAAACCAUAUUUAAUUGAAUGAGUGAAAAGAAGAGAAUAUUUUCAACGAGUGCAAUUCGAGAAUAGUACAUAUUUGAAAGAAGUGCUUAUUUAUAAGAAUAACGAUAUGCAAAACAGUGUCAAAACUCACAAAAAGACUCGAAACUUUAUUUUCUUAUCCAUUAUUUUUUAAUUUCUUAAUUAGCGAUAUCUAUGGAAAAGGUAAAGUUCAGGUGUUCGUUAAAUUUUCUAAAAUUUCCAAGCUAUCUGUGACUGUUUUUUAAUUUUUUUCUCCAUCUCUUGUCUCUCUCGAACCAAGAGAUCGAUAGCCAUCUGUUCUUUGUUUAAUCAGAUUUACAAGCUUUCAAUGCAGCAAAACAUAGAAAUAACGAAGCUGACUUUUCUGCUGGUACUUUUGUUCGCCAAAGAAAUAUGUUCGGACGAUACGUCAGAGAGAUUCAUUAUUUAUAUGGAUGUACAUAACGAUAUUGAAAAUUUAAUUCAAUGGGGCAACACUUGCGAAGCAAAGCUAACUACCUUAGAACAAACUGUAGUGGAAACCACAGAAUCGAGAGAGAGUUCGAAUGAAAAAUAUUUGGAAACAUUGAAGAAAUUAGAAUAUUUGGAGCAUACGGUUAGCACAUAUGAAUUAAAGCAGACGGCAGCGGAACAUACGAUACAGAGCUUAAUUUCGCGAUCCAAGCAAAUUGAGGAAGAGUUAAGACACACUAUUCAUAUAUUGAGUGCUAAAGUAACAGAUUUAGCAUCAAAAUUUGCACUUCAGCACAGGUAAAUUAAUACUUUUACGUUCCCUCUCUCUCUGUAUAAUAUAAUUGCAGGGAGAGAAAAUUCUUUUGUUCGCUAAUCGUUUGCAGAUGUUGUUUGUAGAUAUUAUAUUUGCAGUGUGUGGUAAAGAACUCUAAAUUAGAAGCGAGCUUUUAAUCAAGUUCAAACAACAAAAUCUGGCAAUAGGCAAUCCCAUUAACCAUUAAACGGUACUCUUUAAAACUAAUAUUACGCCAAUAAGAAUUAGAAGAAAUUAUAUGACCUUCUAAUGACAAUAAGGAUGAAAGGCAUGGCUGAAACAUAACAAGAAAAACGUUUACUUCGGUUACACCGAGGCUAUAACAAUGUUCACAAGUAUUGUAAAAAAGCUUUACAUUCAAGGGCUGGAAUUUGAUCGAUCAGUUUGUAUGACAGCAAUAUCCUAAAGUGGUCGCAUAUCGGCGAUUUCUGCAAAUAAGUACUUAUUUGGGGAGGAAAGGACGUGUAGGAAAUUUCAGAUCGGUGUCUCAAAAACUGAGAGACUAGUUGUAUACGCACAGACAGACGGACAUCGCUAAAUCUACAGCCCGUCACGCUGAUCACAUAUGUAUGUAUGUAUCCUUCUCGGUGGUAAAAAGUUCGUGGCAAACUUUAUAUACACUGUACGGGGAAUAAUGAUGUUUCUAUCUAUCUUUGCCAUAUAUUUUUUUUAUUGAAAGAAAUUUAUUGAAGAAUAUAUCGGCAUUCGCUUGCUCUUAACAUAAAAUAUUCCUUCAAUAAUGUUGUGGAACAAAAGAAACUCCUCAAACUUUACAUAUAUGUAAAAUAGGUGAAAUUGAGAGACGCCAUCAGCUUCGUUUGGUAAGUUAAUGACAAACGUUGCGUUUUAUAUGUCCUCGUACGCUCUUCGUUUAAAUUAGGUACACUAUUACGAUUAAGCGUUAAAUCACAGAUUCGCAACGUUGCCGUAUAUAUUUAUUUUAUUUUUGUAGAGAUCCAUUGCCAGAAAGAGAGCGCCCUUUUAAAACUCCCAGCACUACAGGCGUACAGCGUCGUCCAAUACAAUUUGUACCUCCAGUACAAUAUGUACCCCCGACAAAUGUGCCAACAGCAGCAAGCCUGGUUUCACAAGUUUGUGAAGAGAUUGAAAGAGCGUUGCAAUUAGAAGGGAUUAAACGGUUCGUAUCUGGAAUUCAUCCCUCCCUUACCAUUAUUGAAAGGAAAACGCGUUACUCUAGCGUUUUUAGAUGUAUGGGGAGUUUGAUUGGUAAACGCUUCGUUCUAACUUCAGGCCGUUGUGUAUACACAGGUGGGGCAAACUUUGUGCGAUUGGGAAUACGAAGUGACAAAACAAGCGCCAUAGGAAUGAAUAUAAAAAAAAUGCUUAUACAUCCCAAAUACGCUUUAGGCAGAAAGUUUAAUAUAGCCGUUAUCGAACUGGAAGGCGAUGUGGAGUAUUCUUCGCUCGUAUAUCCAACCUGUUUGUACACUGCUGCAACAAUUUCAAUAACUAACGCUGAGGUUUUUUACAUACAAGAUCUAGACGAGUUUUCCUCAAAAAAAUUGGAGGAAGUGCGCGGUCGACUUGUUCCGUACUCAAAUUGUGCGCGAUUCGCUGAGGUUCAAGCACAAGAUUCAUAUGAGGAAUCGUUAAUAUGUGUACAUUAUAACAAUGUUUCGGAUUCGUAUUAUAGCUCCUUCCAUGGGCCGUUAUUUUUCACCCAAAAGGAUGUGAUAGGUAAAGAGCGCAUCAUUGCGGUAUAUUCGGAAAACUCACUUCGAAAUGACGUUUAUAUGACGCAGGAGCUCACAAAGGUGUAUGACUACUUAGAUUUUAUUGAGAAUGCAAUGCGGAGUUUAUUUGGUUCCUAAUUCCAAUGAGAUAUAUAUGCACAAACUAACGACGAAUCGAAAAUUAAAUCUCGGCUUUUUUUAUUUGGAAGCAAGAGGUAUUUUGUCUUGUGUAUUCUGUGCUCGACUACCGCUUGUCAAUCAUAACCUCAAAACUCAUCAACGAAGGAAUCGAAAUAUGAGAAAACAUAGUUCUUUCAGACGAGGUCGUUCUUCUUUUAGUAAUCUGAAAUACAAGUCCAGUGCUAAAGUGAACUUGUUUUAUUGAAGAUCAGAUUUCACAAUACUAGGCCUAAUACCCAUAUAACAAACUUUUGAAUUCCAUCACGCGAUACUUUCCUUAGUUUGAUAUAAAGUUUUGCCAAAACCUGAAAGUGCUCCUCCGCCAUUGUACCUUGCAAGUUGCAAGAGUAUUAAAUGUUCGGUUACACCCUAACUUAACAUUUCCUUACUUGUUUUAGACAUGUGGUUUUUCCCUCGUAAAGUGUGUUUGCAGCAAUUAGCGGCGUGUGUCCACAUUAACAGCUGUAGUAUUAUGGCUGGCUUCAUUUUUGAAUAAAUAUGGACCAAUAAUUCGCUAUGCCCUUAGAGCACACCAAACAAUAACUUUUUGCGGGUGUACGAUAAUCACUCCAAAUGCGAUAAUUUCGUUUAUUAACGUACCUAUUUAACUAAAAUUGAACUUCAUCGCUGAACAAAGUUUUCUUGCAACAAUUGGGAACGGUGACCAUCUCCUUUUGGGCCCAUUUACCGAACGUGCGACACACGCUAGAUAGUCGUUCGGCUUAAAUUCUUGCACAAGUUAGAUUUUGUACGCCCGAAAACCAAGUUCUUCCAUAAAAUCUUUUAUAAAGUGGAUGGGCACUGCUCCAAUUGUUGCCCGCUAUGGCGAAUGGAGUCAUUUGGGUCUGGAUCGGUACUCUGCUCCACAGCAGCAAUAACGUCUUCGGUGCGCAUUGUACGUUGCACCCCACGUCUAAAAGAAGUUCCUGUUAUUAGGGAUAUGAAAAUUGACGCAUUUGAUACUGUGAAAGCCUUUACUUACUUGGACUAUGAACUCAAUGGAGCCUGAGUAUCGAAGAGAGAAUACAAUCCGUCAAUAGACGUCAUACGCGUGCUUUAUCAAACUGUUGAAAUCAAAACUACUCCACAACAAUCAAUCGACCAGUAUCGCUACUCGAAAAGGAUAAAGCCAAGUUUCAAGUAUACGAAACACAGAUUCUUAGAAAAAUCUGUGGAGUAGUAAAAGAUAAUGACUAGUGGUGUUCGUAUAAUGUGGAACCAUGAGCUAAGCCAACUUAUAAAAGGUGAAAAUGUUAUACCACUAAAGAACGGGGAAGACCGCGAUCAAGAUGGAUUGACGAACACGAGGAAGAUAUGGAGAAGAUUGGUAGAAAAAUAUGAAAGCAACUGUAAAUGACCGAGAUGUCUGAGGUUUACAUGUGCAGCAGCUCAAAGCUAACAAUGAGCUGAAUCACCAAAAGAAGAUGAUAUUAGGUAUAUUGGCAUAAAUUUCUGGUUUUUCUUGAUAAACUGUGAAAACUAGUGAAAGCAGAUAAUAACUACGCCAAUACACCAUAAAAAUUUGCUCGAAUAGUCCUUUGAAAUGUGUCAGCUUUUUUCUAAAAAUGGUCGAAAUCGAACUAAGACUUUAUGUUUAAUAUAACUGUUAUUUUGUGUAGUAUUUCAGUGGCAAUAGCUGGGCGCUACAAAUUCAUGAAAUCGUGUCCUAAGUUCCCUAAUCUUUAUAUAAACAAAAUAUUGAUUUCCGUUGUUCACAAUUUUGUCAAACAACGAUUGUUGAAUUGGUAUGAAUUGUUUUUUUUUUAUUCUGGCGAAUUGCGAGAGUAAAUGCUGUUCGGCUGCAUCCGAACUUAGUUCUAUCUGCUGUUGAAAGAAUUUUAUUUUCUAUUGCUAUGUAUGUAUGUACUAUGGAAGCACUGACACAUAACCCAAAUACGAGAGGUGGUGCUUAUUAUCUAUCAGAUCACACUUUACGAAGUGUUCAUCGGUUCAAUCAGCUAGCAAUGCCGUCAUCGCAGCACGCUGCUUUUGACACUUAAGGUCAGUUAUUAAGAAUUAAUCGCAAUUUUGUGCCCACUUGCUACUCCUAUCCUUUCCUCUACCCACCCUAGGCAAGCGUUUUAAGUUCAGUGACAGUCGGUAGAAAAAAUAGCUUUCUAAAAGCUUUGACUUGUUUUAUGGAAAAUACUAGCAUGCCAUAAUUUUUUUUGUUUAUGUCAAUGACGUCAUGACGCAAGUCACAAAGCAGAUUGUGUGGCGCCUUAUAAUAUAUUGUACAUAUAAACACGUAUAUAACAUAUGUGUGUUAAUUGUAUUUUUCUGCGUCAAAGCUCUGCUUGCUUCUUUUGUCGACAAUUUUUGCGGCGCAUCAGCUUUCUAUAAUUACAUGAGAAUUGGAGGCCCAACAUUAAGAAAAGAGAAUUAAUCUAAAAUGAUUAUAUCAAGAACUCUCGGAAAAGGUAUCCAAGAGUAACCAUGAAACGAUGACAUAAUUUUUCUUCGCUAAUGGAGACAAGUCGGUGGGAUAUAAAGAUUAUACUUGUUGUUUGGUAAUAAAAAAAAAAAUAUUGAACAUUUAUGGAGAUCCACAAGGUUCAUCAUCUUUAAAAUUCUCGGAACAACUUUUUGAGAUAUUGAGGAAUAUUACCAACAUGAACAGGGCGAAGAC
Molecule: non-coding RNA, 5345 nt
Organism: Bactrocera oleae (olive fruit fly)
Lineage: Eukaryota; Metazoa; Arthropoda; Insecta; Diptera; Tephritidae
Source: RefSeq, a predicted model, not a curated record